This 253-nucleotide ribosomal RNA is filed under the name uncultured bacterium. RNAcentral's name for it is "partial 16S ribosomal RNA". It matches the Rfam family "Bacterial small subunit ribosomal RNA", at positions 524 to 776 of the family's 1533-position model. The record is from RNAcentral.
UACGAGGGGCCCAAACGUUAUUCGGAAUUACUGGGCUUAAAGAGUUCGUAGGCGGCCUUGCAAGUGGGGGGUGAAAGCCCUCGGCUCAACCGAGGAAUUGCGCUCUAAACUGCAGUGCUUGAGGAACCUAGAGGUGAGCAGAACAGAUGGUGGAGCGGUGAAAUGCGUUGAUAUCAUCUGGAACACCAGUGGCGAAGGCGGCUCACUGGCCCGAUACUGACGCUGAGGCACGAAAGCGUGGGGAGCAAACAGG